UCCUCCAUAGCUCAGUGGUUAGAGCGUUUAACCGUCACCUGGAAGGUCAUGGAUUAGAUUCCCGUUGGAGAGCGCAGAA
This 79-nucleotide transfer RNA is filed under the name Desmophyllum pertusum. Its description in RNAcentral is "tRNA-Asp". It matches the Rfam family "tRNA". From Rfam's summary of the family: Transfer RNA (tRNA) molecules are approximately 80 nucleotides in length. Their secondary structure includes four short double-helical elements and three loops (D, anti-codon, and T loops). Lineage: Eukaryota; Metazoa; Cnidaria; Anthozoa; Scleractinia; Caryophylliidae. The record is from RNAcentral.